CUCAGGAGUACUUCUUCCUCUAUCAGCAAACAAGGGCUAAUGGAUUUUCUUCGGCCUGGCUGGGCGGAGUCUACUUUGAGAACCAGUGGAUGUGGCUUGAUGGUUCCUGGUUCUAUGACGGAUUUUCUUUUCAGAUGUUUGGUGAUGUCAACGACAGUCCCUGCCUGUCAACAUACAACUCUGAUGGUUGGAGUAAUAGCAACUGUAAUAAUGUCAUGAAUUUUUUUUGUGGAAAGGAGGCAGUUUAAAUCUGCUGUUCACACAGGACA
Molecule: long non-coding RNA, 269 nt
Organism: Scomber scombrus (Atlantic mackerel)
Lineage: Eukaryota; Metazoa; Chordata; Actinopteri; Scombriformes; Scombridae
Exons: 3
Source: RefSeq, a predicted model, not a curated record